AGAGCCCCCUGGUGGUGGAAGAAAAAUCCACAGGAAAGCUACAAACCGCCUGGUUCAAAACGUGGGGAAAAAAGUAGCGGCUCAUAGUCCAGAAAAUACGGAAGAAGAACGAAGAUUCAUCAUAAAGCCGAAGCUUCCAGCUUCAGAUUUACUGAUUCUGGAUCGAGACGAAUCGUCACCUCUGAGCUUCCAGAGAUUCAACUUCCUGCCUAGUCAAAGGCCUGUGAACCAGCCACAGAUCCAGUGAGGAAGAGGAGGAUGAAGGCUGCCUCUUCAUUUCCUGCGGCGGUGAAACCAUCUGGACGUUCAGACGCUGGAAGCAGCAGCUGAAUACGAAGUGAAGCUGCAGCUCAGGAAACGCUGCCUGAGAUUUUCUG
This is a long non-coding RNA of Xiphophorus couchianus (Monterrey platyfish), 377 nucleotides long. RefSeq lists it as uncharacterized. NCBI's taxonomy places the organism in Eukaryota, Metazoa, Chordata, Actinopteri, Cyprinodontiformes, Poeciliidae. The record is from RefSeq and is a predicted model, not a curated record. The transcript is spliced from 2 exons.